CGAGCGCAGAGAGAACGCCAUGAAGGCCUCGGGCACACUACGAGAGUACAAGGUGGUGGGUCGCUGCCUGCCCACCCCCAAAUGCCACAUACCGCCCUUCUACCGCAAGCGAAUCUUUGCGCCUAAUCACGUCGUCGCCAAGUCCCGCUUCUGGUACUUCGUGUCUCAGUUAAAGAAGAUGAAGAAGUCUUCAGGGGAGUCUACUGUGGGCAGGUGUUCCAGAAGUCCCCCCUGCGGGUGAAGAACUUUGGUAUCUGGCUGCGCUAUGACUCCCGGAGCGGCACCCACAACCUGUACCGGGAAUACCAGGACCUGAACACCACGGGCGCUGUCACCCAGUGCUACCGAGACAUGGGCACCCGGCACUGCGCCCAGGCCCACUCCGUCCAGAUCAUGAAAGUGGAGGAGAUCGCAGCCAGCAAGUGCCGCCGGCCAGCGAAGCAUUUCCACGACUCCAAGAUCAAGCUCCCGCUGCCUCACCGCGUCCUGCGCCGUCAGCACAAGCCACGCUUCACCACCAAGAGGCCCAACACCUUCUUCUAUGUGUGGGGCCCUCGCCCGGGUGUGCCCCAAAUAAACACAGGGAUGCCCCCCACAAAAAAAAAAAAAGAAAGAAAGACAAGUCCCUUAGCUGAUUGUGACGGUUUGCCUGGCGGGGUGACCCAGACCUUCAUUCCUGAAGUGUCUGGGCCAUUAGAAGUCCUGCUUGAAAAUGGAGGUCUGAGAAGAAAAAAGAUCAUGCCACAUUUCAUCUCCUUGCUUCGCACCCAGCAAUACUUCUACUCUCAACAGCUGGAGCCUUUGCAUUGUGAACAAAAGUCAGCUUGCGUGGGAGUAAAGCCAGCCGUUCCGGGUGCAGACCCCAGAGGCAGAGUGCAGAGGAGAAAGAGUCAGAGAGUUGUGUCUUCAAAAAUGACAUAA
Callithrix jacchus (white-tufted-ear marmoset) is the source of this 921-nucleotide non-coding RNA. Lineage: Eukaryota; Metazoa; Chordata; Mammalia; Primates; Cebidae. The record is from RefSeq and is a predicted model, not a curated record.